AAAUAAGCGAUGACAGGAACAGUACGGAAUCCGUUUUUCCUCAGAGAGCCGGGCCAGGUGCGAGCCGGUGAAAAAGGAAUUCCCGAACGCCCUCCUUGAGCUGCGGGCUGAAAUUGAGUAAGCUUAGCCGUCUUCCGGCGUUAUCGGAGUUGAGUGAGCCGUACAAUUAACGGCUAAUACAGGUGGUACCGCGGGAGCAAUCUCGUCCUUAAU
RNAcentral lists this non-coding RNA (213 nucleotides) under Anaerosporomusa subterranea. RNAcentral's name for it is "Anaerosporomusa subterraneum T-box sequence". It matches the Rfam family "T-box leader". Rfam says of the family: Uncharged tRNA acts as the effector for transcription antitermination of genes in the T-box leader family. T-boxes are found upstream of many aminoacyl-tRNA synthetase genes and some amino acid biosynthetic genes usually in Gram-positive bacteria. The record is from RNAcentral. Lineage: Bacteria; Bacillati; Bacillota; Negativicutes; Acetonemataceae.